GAAAGGGCCUCCAGAUUGUGAAACAGGCGGAAGAGGAACAAUGUUAGUUCCCUGAAAGCCCCCGGCCCAGGCCACAAGGCCGCCCUGCCCUCUGCCACAUGGCAGCCUACAUGGGAAACCCUUCCCGGCCCUUCCCUGCCUGUCCUCCCCCACCUCCUCCUCCUCCUCCUCUCCCGGAACACACAGGCACUAGUUAUUAGGGAUUAGGUGGAACAGAUGCAUGUAAGAUGCUUACUGCCUUUUCCAGACACAAGGCCACUUUCCAAUCAGCUCAGAGGAAACAGGGAGGCAGCUGAUGCCGGCCGGCUGGCUGCCAAGCAGGUCAGGCCUCUGCAGCUGAAACUGCCCGAGAUUCCAGAGCGGGAUGAUGAAUCAGCUGCGUCCUUUAGGGCACAUCCUCUCUUGGACGUGCCGCUGGGAUGUCGUGUCUCUCCGCCGCUUCCCCGUGGUGAGAGUGUGCUCAGAGCUGCUGGCUGAUGACACUGGGAAGUGGGAUGGUGAGAGGAGAAGAGACUUGGCUCUUCCUAUCCAUGCUGAUGAAUGGAGCCAGGCUUUCUUUGGGCUGCAAGUGAAUUCACCGGGCCAGAUGCUCAGGCCAAGCCCCAGGGCUGGUUGUUCCUAGGAAGGAAAGGUAGAAGAUUCCCAAGGUAGUCUUUUUUUGUUUCUUUAUUUUGUGUUAUAGUGAAGUUCCUGUCUCAAAAGUGAUGCUUGUAUUUUAGUCUCCUUUUUCAGUGCUGCCCCCUAAGCCAGAGGAUACAAGAAGGGAGCGUCAUUUUUAUGACAACAAGGAUGCAUCCUUUGCAAUUGUGACUCCCUUUGUCUGGAAUGUGGGAUGCUGUGGCUGUCCUGCUGUGUUUUCUGUCUUUUCUGGGACAGCUGAAGUGAGUACCACAGUAACAGACAGCCAGACAUAUGCUCAUGGCCUGGAAUGAAGUCGACUGCAAUUACAUCCUGAGGGAGUCACUCAACGGGGGUUUGUGGAGGCAGGACGCAGGCUCUGGUGGAGCUGCACAUGUGCUGUUGGACCUCCAACUGCACUCGCUCUGCCUUCAGCUUUGUGGGAGCGAGGAGCAGCAGGCUCAGAAAUACAGCCAGUCUGGUGCACAUCUGGAGGCAGUAAUUGGAGGUAAAGUGUGCACCUUCUGUUCUCGAUUCAAUGAGGUGUUUUCCUGCAUUAGUGAUUUCAGCGCAUCAGCACCAAAAUUCAUCCUUUUAAACACACUUGCUCCCCAUCUCCCAUGCUCUGUGCUGGUCUGAACCUUCUUCAAGCAUUAAGGUGUUGGGAGCUGGGUUGCAGGGUCAGGCCUCUCUCCUGUAAGGCUCCUUGUGCUUUACUUCCUUUAUCUCCAAGAGCAGCCAGAAGCACAUGCUGUGGCAACAUAAUCAUUUAAUCCAGGCUGGUGAAACCUGUUCUCCAGAUGAACAACUGACAGAUCGUUUGCUCUGUAGCUCUGCAUAUGAAUGCAAUGUUUGUUGGGGUGGAUGGAUGCCGGUGCCAGUUUUCCACUCCAGUUUCCAACAAAACCAAGCAGCAGCCUGACCGUGAAUCUGCUUCCAGCUCCUUCCUCUGCUCCCUGCAACAUCCUUGCUGCAGCCACAUUAGUGCUGGGGCUCUCCCUCCCUGGCUGCUGGUGUGGAUGCAGUAGGUCCACAGAUUCCUGGCAGGAGGACGCAGCCCUCAGAGGAGUGCAGCAGGCCUGUGGCGCCCGGGAUAGGAACGUGUUUGCCUGGGGAGGCAGGUGAUACCUGAAAGGGUGCAGCCAAAACUAACAAAGGUGUGUUCAGAGAUAGAUACAGUUUGAUCUUUAGCCUCUGAUACAAACCUUGCCUUGGCUGGGGAAGGGUGUAACAGCCUGGCGGAUUGCUGGUGAUUCCAGCAGUGGGUUGGAGUGAGGACAUGUGCUGCUGCCUCCCUUGCAACUGCUGUGAGUUAGCAGGGACAAGGGAGAGGUGCACCCCCUGUUUUAGGCCUCUGAAGUCCACAGGUCUGAAUGUCAGAUAUGAGGAGAUGGUGCUCUUAUAGUCUCAUGUGCAGUAAUGGAGUUACAGAGUGCCUUGGGUUGGAAGGGACCUUAAAGUUCAUCAAGGUCCAGGCCCCCCUGCCAUGGGCAGGGACACCUUCCACUAGACCAGGAGUGGAGCAUCUGCAACUUGUCUGAACAACCUGUUCCAGUGUCUCACCACACUCACAGCAAAGAAUUUCUUCCUAGUAUCUAAUCUAAAUCUACUUUCAGUUUAAAGUCAUUACCUCUUGUCCCAUCACGACAUGCUCUUGUCAAAAGAGCAGAGCCAGUGGUUCAUUGCACAUUGUGCAAAUGCAUGUGCUUAUGUAGGUUUUCUGAGUGCCCAGAAAAUCUGUCAUCUCCUAAGUGCUGGAGGUACUUCUGGUGAGCAGCCUGUCCUGCUCUGCUGCGGUCCUUGUUUGCUGCUUCUCUGGUUUCAGGGUCCAUCCCUUCCAGAUUUUGUAAUGCAAGCAGCAGCUGACACUCUCACGGCCCAGCUGAUGGCUUGGUGGUGGCACGAAACCAGAGAGGGCUGUGGUGUGCACUGGUGGCAGCCACUGCUCUGACAAACAGCAUUAGAAACUUACCAGGUGAAUAUGCAUUGCUUUUGCUGAUGUAUUCUUUAUUUUUGGCUUAAGGAGCAAACUGAGUGCUGAGACUUUACCAGGGCCAGUUUAAGCCUCUUGAACUGCCUGAUCUGCUUGCAGUGCCUCUGAGGAUGGAGAGCUGAAAGAAGCUGCUUGCACUCAGAUUGCAAUCCAGAUGACUUUUUUGAGAAGAGCAUGUGUUAAAUGUUUUUGGGGCCAGCACUGUGAGGUUGGCCCAACCUCCAGAAACACUUUCCAAAACUUGUUGUUCAGAAUAGUGUGCUCUAAAUAUGCACUGCUUCCCCCCUGCACUAGCUGGUCUGACCUACUGUCACCAUACAACAGGGUUUUUCUUUCAGCUCAGAAGAGAUUCAUAUUAAGAUCAGUAUUACUUGCACAGUGAAACAGCUCCUUUUUCUUCCUUGUUCCCUGUUACACACCUCCAAUGCCUGUCUCUGUGCUAGAUGAGAGCCUGUGGGGAGUUCAGGGAGUGCAGGUCUGGGCCGUGUAUCACCCUGUCACCAGGACCAAGCUGGGAGAGGUCAGUACAUGUGCACAGCUCGGAGCAAUGUGUGCUGUGCUUGGGAAGGGGGUGGGGGAUGGGAGGUUUGAAACCCUCACUGGUAUUUUAUCUUCAGUUUAGCAUGGCUCAGGUUUGUCAGCAAAACACCAUGGUCCUGAAAUGUCAAGCCUGAGGCAGAACUGGGAAAAGAACAACUUAGAACUCCUGGGUUUCUGUCUAGGGCUUUGGACACAGCUUCAGCCAAAGGUUCCCCCUUCCUGAAAGGAGAGGGAUGUCAAAGUGUAAUGUUUACAUCAGUUGUGUGAAGUCCACUCAGAUCUAUUCAACCCCCUGCCUCUGCAUAACUUUUUUUGGCAAGCAUUAACUAAUAAGGAAGGGAGUAAAUCUUGCUUGAAGUUAUUUUUCUUCCUGCUCCUGUGUCCCACCCCCAGGCACCCCAUGGCAGGUGCUACAGAGGCGAAAACCAGAGCUCCUGCAGAGACAGAUUAGCAGCACACAAAAUGAUCUCUCUCGUCCUUGUGCACCCCAGAGCCCGGAAACUCCCCCAUCUCUCCAGCCUUGCAGCCCAGCUGUCCCAAACCCCAGACAGCAGGGAUGGAUAACAGCAGGCUGCUCUCUGUGCUGCAGCCCAGGCGAUGGGGAAGAUAAUGGGAAUCAUUUCUUGGUACAAGUACAAGCAUGAAUCCUCUGAAGAAAUACUAAAUCUAGUUGCGGUGGGGAAAAAAAGAAAAAUAAAGCAAAUGCACACACUUGCACACACACAACCUCGACCUCACGUAACGUUGAAGGGUUUGGUUCUGACUUUUUUUCUCAGCUGCUGGUCCUUGAACUCCUCCCAGUGUGGCUCCACCGCUGGAGCAACAGCUGGCGUGCUGAGGUGCAGUGCAGGGCUGCCAGCUCUCCUCACUGCAGAUCAAGCCUUGCACUCUGUUACUGGGGGAUUUCCUUGAAGCCCUCAUGCCUCUUUGCCAGAGCGCUCGGAUUGUGUGAGAAUUGUGCCUUUUGACGGAAGAAAAAGGGGUGUGGGGGGAAAGCUAAUUAAGAAAAUGUUUUUAGCACUACACUCAGGAUUGUGUAGGAAAAUUAACAAAUAGGAAAUGCGUGUGACCUACAGUGAGUAAAAUAAUAAUCUUUUUGCCCUGAGCAGGGCUGUAUGAGCUGUUUGGAUGACACGUGAUGGAGCAGGGGUGUGGAAGAAAAUGGAGCCCUGCUCAGUGCUGCAGGCCUUUUGCCACUGCAACUGAAAGAGUAAAAACUUAUUUUGCCACUCUGGAUGCUAACUCAUGGUAGGUAAUUGCUUUAGCUAUGGCAAACGAAGCCCAAGGAAGGGUCCAUCACAGAUUAACUCCUAAGACUUAGGGUGUUUUGCUAAGCGAGGUGCCAGACCUGUCUGUGGAAAUCUUGUUCUUGAAUUAUUAUUCCUUUUAAAUCUUAGACUGUGCCUGCAAAGAUGAAGUGUUUCCUAGCCUCACUUUUCAGUAUUGCUAUUCUUUCCAUCCUCUAUUGCUUCCACAGUGGGUACAGAGACAUGAGCUUUCAAUACCUGCAAAUUUCCAUCUGGUUUGUUAGCAGCACUCCUCAUUAAGGGGAUUAUAAAAAAUUGGAGAUGCUACAGGUAAGCACCCAAACAGUAAUCCUGGCUUCCACAAUAAGGCAGUGUGUUUUGUGUGGUUAGAGCAGCAGGAACAGGACUCAUGAGUGACAGAGCAAAAAAUCAGUGAUUUCUGUUUGGCAGGAGAUACUUAAAAACUUUGUCAAGUUAGGCAAGUAUCUCCAUUGUGGUCUCUGACUCACAAUUCAAGUAUGCUGGGAACAUUUGAGGGGGCUGGGUCAGUUCUUUAAGCAGUGGGAAAACAAGGCUUUAAUGCAUCACGGCAUAACUUUGGGUCUGUGCUCUACUGUUCUGCCUUUCUUUGAGGAAACUGGUGUGGCUGGUGGUGGGGAGAGGGAGGUGUUGUGAAACCACACAUCCACACACACUCACAUGUGAUUUUAAUCCCUCCUAACAGUGUUUCAGACUCAUUUGACUGUGGUGGCUGAGCUGAGCCACUUAUCACUUGCCCUCCUGAAGGUGAACAGAGGACAAGACUGUGUGAUGGGGCUGGUGGCAACUCGGUUUCAUCCUCUGCAGCAGCAGCCUGGCUGAGGUAAAGGUCUUUGCUCGUGGUUGUUAUUGGUUCCAUAUUUACUUGGGAUCUUUGCAUGCAGAGGAUGGCUUUUGGCUUGUGAAGAGGAACUUCUCCGAGGCUGGACCGUUUCCCCUCAUGGGAAGCCUCUCCAAGAUUGCGUGUACUGCUCAGAAAGGCUGCUAGGGGCAAGGUGCUUUUCUGCAUCUAACAGAACAUUCUGAAAGCUCAUUAAUAAAAGCCAGAUAAAAUAAAGCUUGCAAAGUCAACAUGUUGAAGAAGAUAUGCCGUUCUGGGAAACAAGUGGAGAGGAGGUGUGUAUUUAUGUGGACAAAAGAAGCCCAAACUGUAAACCAUAAUAUAUCUGUGAGCUCAUUAAUGUGUCUGAUGCUGACUAAUUCCAGGAGUGUUCCUGCUGCCCAGCAGCAAAAGUGCAAAUAAGUGGACAGCUGUGAUUUAGUGCCAAAUAUUUGAACACAUCGUGACAAUUCAGGCCACCCACUCUUUUAAGUGAAUACAACUUCUGGAGAAUAAUUUCAAACUGGGCUGAAGUGCAGAGCAGCCACUUUCAUGUGCAUCUCAGCCAAAUGGCCCUCAAGUAUUUGGGGCCAAACUUUGCCUUCUGUUACACCCCGGGGGUGCUCAUUCACUCCAGGGUUUGCACUAUGUAGCUGAGGGGCAGAGCUGACUCUUGAUGCUAAUCUGACUUUUUCUAGCUCAGUAAGUACAAUUUCACAUGUAAAUGUAAAUGUGGAACAGAUCUGGACUCGAUUAGCUCCUGAAUCCUUGACAAAAAGCCAUAAUUGUUUAUCCAGAUGAUGUUUCUUUCUCUCUCUUUUAUUUUCUCUACACUUUAAACCCAAGUUUUUAAUGGGCUUGUGAAAUAAAUACAUGAGUGUAGAUUAGAGUGGUAUCAAAGGUAUGAGGGAAGCCCUUCCCUUCUCCUCAGCAGGACUAAAUGAUCACUUGGUGCACACUUCAGUUGUGCUCUCCAGAGCCUUGGGCAGGGGUGGCUGCGGAUCUGACUGACGGUGGGAGGGAGGGUAUUUCCAAGACAACACUUAGCCCGGGGCUCUCAUUACAGAUGUGAAGGACCUGUGAUAUAUAUCUUUUUUUUUUUUUUCCUGGUAGGCAGUGAAAUCUGUGCUAGUGGCUAUAUCUGGGGCACAGGGUUGUUGGGGGAGGAGAAAAGCAAGGGAAUAUGGAAAAAAAAAUGUAUUUAUCAGGGUAAUCUAGUUUAGGAGCACAAGUACUAAAACAUUUUAAUCACAGUCAUACGGCUGUGUGUCACUUCAGGGCAGAAUUAAGGCUAUUUGUAUUCCUUGGUAGCACACUGCCACACUUCAACAAGUUUGAAUUUAUUUUAAGCAUAACUUUAACUCUGAAUUCCCUGGGUUUGUAAUGUCUGGUCUGGAAAUAAAUGCAACCUCUUUAUAUUGUACUUUACUCUUAAAAUAGGCUUUCUACUUUAGUUCCAUUUCUGUUGGCUCGGCAAGAGCAUGGGCUGUCAUUUCCUGCCCUGCUGGGCUUGCUGUUUAAAUGGAGAGGGCGGUGUAUCUGAAUAAAGGAACAGAGCAGUAAAAGCUGGGAUGGGAGAGGGAUGGCACUCCCGGGGCAGCUGUGCCACAGCUCAGUUAUUGCUUUAACUGCCCAUGCCUGACUAUCUCCUGCAUGAAUGUGUGGCUACCUUUGGCACAGACAUGCUUUCCUUGGGGGUAGAAGGAGCUCAUAAGGGGUCAAAGUUUCAAAUUUGGUUUCAUGCUGAGGAAGUGACAUGAUGAUCUCAGCUCCUAAUAAGGCCACUGGAAUUGUGGGAUGAUGUUCAGCUCACACCAGGUUGCUUGUGAGCUUGGCUGACACUUUUGGAGCUGUGUGCUGUAGGUCUUCAUGUGCCACAA
This is a long non-coding RNA of Passer domesticus (house sparrow), 7137 nucleotides long. RefSeq lists it as uncharacterized. Lineage: Eukaryota; Metazoa; Chordata; Aves; Passeriformes; Passeridae. The transcript is spliced from 5 exons. The record is from RefSeq and is a predicted model, not a curated record.